This 238-nucleotide ribosomal RNA is filed under the name uncultured bacterium. RNAcentral's name for it is "partial 16S ribosomal RNA". It matches the Rfam family "Bacterial small subunit ribosomal RNA", at positions 96 to 334 of the family's 1533-position model. The record is from RNAcentral.
CGGCGGACGGGUGAGUAACGCGUGGGUAACCUGCCUCGUACAGGGGGAUAACAGUUGGAAACGGCUGCUAAUACCGCAUAAGCGCACAGUACCGCAUGGUACCGUGUGAAAAACUCCGGUGGUAUGAGAUGGACCCGCGUCUGAUUAGCUAGUUGGUGGGGUAACGGCCUACCAAGGCGACGAUCAGUAGCCGACCUGAGAGGGUGACCGGCCACAUUGGGGCUGAGACACGGCCCAA